GCCCGACUGGUCUAGUGGUAUGAUUCGUCCUUCGGGAUACAAAAUUCCCAUCCAUAUGUGUAUGGAUACAAUAAAUGGACGAGGUCCCCGGUUCAAUCCCGGGGUCGGGCC
Non-coding RNA from Truncatella angustata, 111 nucleotides. The record is from the annotation of a RefSeq genome assembly. Lineage: Eukaryota; Fungi; Ascomycota; Sordariomycetes; Amphisphaeriales; Sporocadaceae.